UUUGAAGACAUUUUCCAAACAUCAAUAAAAAAAAUGUUCAUGGGAAUUUCAAAAUCAGAAUCACAUUCCCAAACUAUUUAAUAAAUCCAAUCAUGCAACCAAAAAUUAUAAUCCUUUUGUAGACAAGGUCAAAAGCUUAUCCUUCACAUAAACAAAUGACUACAAACUUGCUUGCAAUACAUAACAAAGUAAGCAGCCAUAAGUUACAUUAAAACACAAGCAUUUGCUCAAAACAACAAAGCACCUGGAAAUAGAGAUUUGAAUCUCGAGUAUUAUGGAGAUUAAUGUUGAUGAAGAAGCUGGGAUCAUCAAAGAAGAAACAGUUCCACUCCUGGAUGAUCAAAAUCGAAAUCGGGACUUACCUGACAUAGAAAGGAACACUAUGAUGCAAAAGGCAAUAGGUAAGACUUUUCAGACAACAGCUAAUCUAGCUAAUCUUUUACCUACGGGGACAGUUCUUGCAUUCCAGAUUUUAUCGCCAAUUUGCACAAACGUUGGACGCUGCGAUCUAACUAGCAGAUUCAUGACUGCGUUGCUAGUUUCCAU
This 546-nucleotide long non-coding RNA is filed under the name Arabidopsis thaliana (thale cress). Its description in RNAcentral is "long non-coding RNA (ATHA_LNC000466)". Lineage: Eukaryota; Viridiplantae; Streptophyta; Magnoliopsida; Brassicales; Brassicaceae. The record is from RNAcentral.